This 256-nucleotide ribosomal RNA is filed under the name uncultured bacterium. Its description in RNAcentral is "partial 16S ribosomal RNA". It matches the Rfam family "Bacterial small subunit ribosomal RNA", at positions 524 to 777 of the family's 1533-position model. The record is from RNAcentral.
UACGUAGGGUGCAAGCGUUGUCCGGAUUUAUUGGGCGUAAAGAGCUCGUAGGCGGCUUGGCAAGUCAGGUGUGAAAACUUCAGGCUCAACCUGGAGAUGCCACCUGAUACUGCUAUGGCUAGAGUCCGGUAGGGGACCACGGAAUUCCUGGUGUAGCGGUGAAAUGCGCAGAUAUCAGGAGGAACACCGGUGGCGAAGGCGGUGGUCUGGGCCGGCACUGACGCUGGAGGAGCGAAAGCGUGGGGAGCAAACAGGA